GUCUACGGCCAUACCACCCUGAAGACACCCAAUCUCGUCUGAUCUCGGAAGCUAGUCUGAUCUCGGAAGCUAAGCAGGGUCGGGCCUGGUUAGUACUUGGAUGGGAGAAAUCAAGAGUGGUGAAAC
This is a ribosomal RNA of Erinaceus europaeus (western European hedgehog), 126 nucleotides long. NCBI's taxonomy places the organism in Eukaryota, Metazoa, Chordata, Mammalia, Eulipotyphla, Erinaceidae. The record is from Ensembl.